AGAUGCUGUUGUUUAGAUCCCAUACGCCAUUCUUCUCCUAUUUUCACCCGACAGAUAAGGCAUGAAACUAUAUUUGUCAAAGAAGGUGGAGUGAAACUUGUAGCUUUUAUCUUGUUCUUGUAGCCCUUUUUUCUUUUUUUAAAUAUAAUUUAGUUUUAUUAUUUUAUUUUUAAAGUGAUGGUGGUAGAAUUAAGUGAGAAUUUAAAGUUGAAAGAUCCUUUUAUUUUUACUUUUAUUUGUAAAAUAUAAAAAUUUAUACAAAAUUAUAAAUAUGACCUAGGGCUUAUUUGGUUGAAA
RNAcentral lists this unclassified non-coding RNA (297 nucleotides) under Hevea brasiliensis (rubber tree). The record is from RNAcentral. Lineage: Eukaryota; Viridiplantae; Streptophyta; Magnoliopsida; Malpighiales; Euphorbiaceae.